Molecule: long non-coding RNA, 4469 nt
Organism: Crotalus tigris (Tiger rattlesnake)
Lineage: Eukaryota; Metazoa; Chordata; Lepidosauria; Squamata; Viperidae
Exons: 5
Source: RefSeq, a predicted model, not a curated record
UGGCCUGCAGUACUGCACUCUAACUGCUGCGCCACCUCGGCUCCUAUUGUAACUGGGAGAGUAAUAAAAUCAAACAAAAGAAAAUAAGAAUGAAAACAGUUUGGUUAAGAGAGAGAAAGAGUCAUAGAUCCCAAGAUAUGAAUUCAAAAUUUCUUGGCUCAUUAAUAUUCAAGCGUUUGUUUUAGAGAAAGUAAAAAAAAAAGUAUACAUCAUCUGCCAUUAGAAAUAAAUUGGAAUAUAAAAAGGCUAUUAAAAUUUAGAAUGCUUAAUUUAGUUUUUAGCAUCAUAUAUAUUUCUUGUAUAAAAAUUACAAUAUAAGCUUAAAAACUAUAAAUGUCUGUGGAGAUUCUCAGUCAUCCAUGUCAUGGAUGUCCCAAAGGUGCUUUUUCAAAAAGUUCAAGGAAAAACAAAGUCCAGUUGCCUUUUGAAAAAGCAACUUUGGUUAAAAACUAUAACAUACAGCUCAUAAAUCACAUUUUAAGAAGCAGACUCUAUUGUGGAUUCUUCCAAAGUAAGCAUAUCAGACUUUCUAAAGCGCUAGAUGGCAAUCUUUCACUUUAGUAAGUUAUCUCAAUAAUAAAAUAUUCUGCCUUGCUGAGAUAGUUAAAAAAAUCUAAGUGAAGUAAAUAAUUCUAAACUUAAUUCCACAAAAACUGAAGCCUCGCUAAUGCCAAAGAAAAAUUCAAGCGGUGAUUAUGUUUUAAGGUCAAUGGGGCUUCAUGAUGCUGAUUUUUUAUUGAAUUGUACUAUCUUAAAAAAAUAUCCCCUUAUAUUAUUUGAUGGGAAUGAAGCUGAUACUGCCAUGUUUUUUACUAUGGAUUAAGCUUUGUUGCAAAAAUGAUGCAUACAUUUUAAGGAAAAGUGAAGACAUGAACUUUCUCAGAAAUGACAGCAUUUUCAUAUACAGCAAUAUAGCAGGAAUAUGCCAUGAUGAUGUGUCCGAUUUCAUGGAUUUGCAACCUGAUUAGGUUUUUGUUGAUGUAUUGACAAUAUUAUUAAAUAUGUUUAAAGAAAACAUUAUGUAGAACCAUUGUAAGCCUGUUGUUGGUUGCUUUUGGUAAUAUUGCUCUUGCAGACACUGCGUAUCUAUAGUUCUCAACUAUAGGGGAAAAUUAGAUCUUUUGUGACCAUAUGCUACAUAUCACAAUAUAAGUUGAAUUUUGCAUGAAAAAAUUCAAAACUAUAGGAUUCAACACCAUGCAAAUUAAUUACUGUUGCUUUGAGGAACAAUGGCAGGAAAAUUAAUAUAUUUUAAUUUAGCUGAGUGGGCCCAAUUGGCAAAACAAAGCUCAGGACCUUAUUGGUUGGAAACAUGUGGAAGAGGCCUUAUCCUGAAUGGAAAGACAAUGGUUAAAAUGAUGAUGAUGAUGAACUUAGUUGAGUAUCUUUUGUUCAGAACCAUAUCCAGUGGUUCUGGUACCUAUUUCCAAAUAUCCUAUCUGAGUAAGGAAUGUGUCGCGUAUCUUGCAAUUGCAGAGCAUUAUUUAUUUUAACAUUGGCAACGCCCUACCACAACCAGUGGUGUUAGUAUUUUGUUGAAGCAGUUUAGCAUUGGUCAUAUAGGCCCAAGGAAUAAAGGCUAUUUUACAGUAAUGAAAACUUUCUACUGUCAUUUAGUCUUAAGUUGUAAUGCAAAGCUGCUGUUUAGUUUCUCUGGAGCUUUGCUGGCUGUCCCUCUACACUCACCCCUUUUCAUGAUUUUAGAAGCCUCAAGCACCCCAACCAUUUUCUUCUGAAAAGUGGGACACAUUUAAAUUAAUCUCACUUCAACUUAAAUAUGAGUAUUCUGUGCAAAAGAAAAUGACAAACAAACAAAAACCUCAAACCUAUUUUUGUUACCUUGGUUUGGAUUGCCAACAUUUCAUUUCUUUUGAAAGAGUUACUAGGUUUGCUUUAGCCAUCCAGAAGCAUAAACUGUAUGUCCUUACAGUGGAAUAUCAAUGGCAAAAAUCUAUUAAAUCUUUUUCUUUGUUGCUUCUAAAAGCUAUGCCUAUAUUAUCAACACAACAUUAAAAUUUCUAUAGAACUCAUAGUUGUGGAACAUUAUAAUGUAGACUAGGCGUUCUUGGAUUGGUAAAUUGUUCCAAUAUCUGCCUAAUUGUUGGCAACCCAAAAGAAUUCUUUGGGAAGGAAAUUGUUAUCUUAGAAGCAGCCAAGCAACAUUUAACAGUAGCUUUAGCUCUGCAAAAUCUCUUUAAGGAAUUUAAAGCCUUUUGCGCAGAACAGGGAGAGGCACAGUGAGUUAUUGCUUCCAAUUUGGCUGAGUUUUCCUGGGAAGCCAUAGAGGCUGGUUUCCCCUUAAAAAAAAACUUGCUUAUUUUAGAAUACCCAUUACAUCAAACUAUAGCUGAAGCAACUGGUCUUCUGAUACCAGAAUAUUAUCUUCUGAUGGCUAUUCUCUGUAAAGUUUAAAGCACAGCCAGAAAUGCAGCAACCAGUUAUGUACUCUGCAUGGAUUGUAAACAAAGUGUAUGAGAUUUACAACUUUUACUGCAGUACUAUAGAACUGCACUUUUCUACUCUAUGAAUAGCAUGUUUAAAAUAACAAUAAAGACAUUUCUUUGGGUAAUCACGAUUCAGGGCAAAUUAAAAUAAAACUGGGAGAGAAAAUAACUAUUAUUUGGAGUUGAGUGCAUGUUUAUAACUAUCAUAUUCUUGUUUAAAUGACCAAUAUGCAUAAAAUAUCCAUAAAACACUAAAAUUAUGGAGAAAAUUACUUUCACAUCUAAUAUAAAGCAUUAUCUUUUUUCUUCUCCUAAUGAAUUAAAAUGAAAUAACUAUCAUUCCAUAAUUUUCUCAAAACCCCAAACUAUCAUUCCAUAAUUUUAUCAAACCAUUGAUAACAUCACAAAUUUCCAGGGUAGUUAUCAUCAAUUAGCAAAAGAAUUAAUAUAUUACUUUAACUGAGUUCCUCAAUUGUCAAAGUGGGAUCAGGCAAGCAGUGGCAACCAUAUAGGUUUAUUUUGAAAACAAGCUAAAUAAAAUAUAUGGAAACCUUGGCACCAAAAAUUCUAUCGAUUAUUGAUUUUUAGUAAUACUGCAUCAUAUGGAAGUUCAGAAGAUUUCAUUUGAAAGAACUAGAGGACAAGGUUCAAAAGCAUCUCCCAUCUAUAACAUUUUCCCCCAGAGUUAUAUAACAACACAUUCCAUAAAACAAUAAAUCAGUAGGCUUAAGUGUAUAUAACAUUGCUGAAUUGUGACCAAUAAAUUCUAAAACUCUUGCAACAUAUCAGAUACCCCCAAUUCUGGAACUGAGAUAUGUUUGACUAUACCAUUGUUUACCUCUUUGAACUCACUAAAAAGGUAUUAAAAGGACUUAUCUUUAAAGCUUUUAAUCAUAGCAACUCCUACAAAUAUUGCCUCCAAAUUCAGUCUUUUUUUACUCAAUAGAACUUACUUCCAAGUAAUUGAGCAAAAACUUGCAACCUAGCCAUGCGUGAAAAAGCCAGCCCAAUGAGCUACUAACUUAAGUACAUAGAUUGUGCCAAUGGUCACUUUAUUUGUUCCCUCUAUUUCAGAUUAUGCUAAAGAAUGCGGAUGAAUGCAAUAAAGUAAGCUUGUGUGCGUCUUUCAACUUUUGCCAUUUGGAAUCCCACAAACGCUCUUUUUACUGACCUGGACCCCACCGCACCCCCCAUAACUUGAAUUUCCAUCUGUCAGAAAGCUAAGAAACGAACUUAAAAAAUAGGCUGAUGACACUCUUCUGGAUUUUUUUGGUACCUAGCAAAAAUAGCGCCCUCAUCAGUUUUCUUUCUUUUUUUUCACAAGGGGAAACAACUGUCGAUUUGUCGUCUGAACCGUCUUUCACGCCACCUAAAGAAUGGCCUGUGUUCCCACUGGUAUUUGCUGUAAUCCAGGGGUCCCCAACCCUCGGGCCAUGGACCAGGACCAUUACAUGGCCUGUUAGGAACUGGGCCACCCAACUGGAGGACUAGGAGAAACUGUUGAAGAAUUUUCUGUCUAAGCUGCCAAAAUAAACUAUCUGGCCAUGAACUUUAUGCACUAUAAAUUGGGGAAAUGGGAGGAAACACAAUUUACUGUUCUAUUGCAGCUGAGUUUUGGCUGUGCAACAUGGGAAUGCUCCAAGAUGUGCCAAAUGGGGCUGCAUUACUUCCUCUGUUUGAGAUUCAGUCCAGUUCAAACAGGUUAAGAUAAAGAACAUUUUAUGUAGUUGCUACAGAAAAAGAGAUGUGCUUAAUUCAUCACGCCUCCCCUAGAAGUGUUGGCAAAAGCAGCUGUCUGAGAAUUGUAGCCUCUAAGUGUGUUUAUGAUAUGAUUUACUCUUCUCUUUCAUUAAUUGUUCAAAUUUACUCAGUGAAUCCCAUUUCCUCUUCUGAAGCAAAGUAUAGAACAAGUGUAAAAUAAUUUGACAUUGCAUCCCAUCAUUUUGGAGUAAUAAAGCCAAACUUAGGAUUUCGCUGUGAGAUUUCAUUGUAUAAACACGCACACAUUUACCAAUAAAAUCUUAA